GAGUUUGAUCCUGGCUCAGAACUAACGCUGGCGGCGUGCCUAACACAUGCAAGUCGAACGAGAAAGUUGGCUUCGGCCGAUGAGUAAAGUGGCGCACGGGUGAGUAACGCGUGGAUAAUCUGCCCUUUAGUUUGGAAUAACGUACCGAAAGGUGCGCUAAUACCGGAUAAUACUGAAUGACUACUGUCGUUUAGUCAAAGAAGGCUUCUGUUUACAUGCUUUUGCUGAAGGAUGAGUCCGCGUACCAUUAGCUAGUUGGUAGGGUAAUGGCCUACCAAGGCGACGAUGGUUAGCUGGUCUGAGAGGAUGAUCAGCCACACUGGAACUGAGACACGGUCCAGACUCCUACGGGAGGCAGCAGUGAGGAAUAUUGCGCAAUGGGGGCAACCCUGACGCAGCAACGCCGCGUGAGUGAGGAAGGUUUUCGGACCGUAAAGCUCUGUCGAGCGGGAAG
This 454-nucleotide ribosomal RNA is filed under the name uncultured bacterium. RNAcentral describes it as "bacterial SSU rRNA". It matches the Rfam family "Bacterial small subunit ribosomal RNA", at positions 9 to 447 of the family's 1533-position model. The record is from RNAcentral.